UACGUAGGGUGCAAGCGUUAAUCGGAAUUACUGGGCGUAAAGCGUGCGCAGGCGGUUUUGUAAGUCAGAUGUGAAAUCCCCGGGCUUAACCUGGGAACUGCGUUUGAAACUACAAGGCUAGAGUGUGGCAGAGGGGGGUGGAAUUCCACGUGUAGCGGUGAAAUGCGUAGAGAUGUGGAGGAACACCGAUGGCGAAGGCAGCCCCCUGGGUUAACACUGACGCUCAGGCACGAAAGCGUGGGGAGCAAACAGG
RNAcentral lists this ribosomal RNA (253 nucleotides) under uncultured bacterium. RNAcentral describes it as "partial 16S ribosomal RNA". It matches the Rfam family "Bacterial small subunit ribosomal RNA", at positions 524 to 776 of the family's 1533-position model. The record is from RNAcentral.